UUAACUAUUAUAUAGUACUCAGACGACACUAAUAUUCAGAGUUUGGGGUCCUCUGGCGGGCGCUUACCAGCCGGAGCCGGUAGCCUGACCGAGGCCGAGACGGCCCGCCAAAGCAACAAAGGUAAUGAUAACAUAGGGUGGGAAUUCUACCCGUUUAAGGGGAACUCGUUAAUGAUCCCUCCGCAGGUUCACCUACGGAGA
Molecule: unclassified non-coding RNA, 201 nt
Filed under: uncultured fungus
Lineage: Eukaryota; Fungi
Description: sequence contains ITS1
Source: RNAcentral